AAAUAGAUACCCUGGUAGUCCACGCCGUAAACGAUGAGUGCUAAGUGUUGGAGGGUUUCCGCCCUUUAGUGCUGCAGCUAACGCAUUAAGCACUCCGCCUGGGGAGUACGGCCGCAAGGCUGAAACUCAAAGGAAUUGACGGGGGCCCGCACAAGCGGUGGAGCAUGUGGUUUAAUUCGAAGCAACGCGAAGAACCUUACCAGGUCUUGACAUCCUCUGACAACCCUAGAGAUAGGGCUUUCCCCUUCGGGGGACAGAGUGACAGGUGGUGCAUGGUUGUCGUCAGCUCGUGUCGUGAGAUGUUGGGUUAAGUCCCGCAACGAGCGCAACCCUUGAUCUUAGUUGCCAGCAUUCAGUUGGGCACUCUAAGGUGACUGCCGGUGACAAACCGGAGGAAGGUGGGGAUGACGUCAAAUCAUCAUGCCCCUUAUGACCUGGGCUACACACGUGCUACAAUGGAUGGUACAAAGGGCUGCAAACCUGCGAAGGUAAGCGAAUCCCAUAAAGCCAUUCUCAGUUCGGAUUGC
This 527-nucleotide ribosomal RNA is filed under the name uncultured bacterium. RNAcentral describes it as "bacterial SSU rRNA". It matches the Rfam family "Bacterial small subunit ribosomal RNA", at positions 776 to 1301 of the family's 1533-position model. The record is from RNAcentral.